AGAUUAGCUUGCUAAAAUUGUCAGCUAAGUGGCGCACGGGUGAGUAAUGUAUAGAUAACCUGCCCUUAAGAAAGGAAUAACAGUUGGAAACGACUGCUAAUGCCCUAUAUGCCUUUAAUACAUAAGUAUGCAAGGGAAACGCUUUAGUGCUUAAGGAUGGGUCUGUAUGGUAUCAGCUUGUUGGUGAGGUAAUGGCUCACCAAGGCUAUGACGCCUAACUGGUUUGAGAGGAUGAUCAGUCACACUGGAACUGAGUCACGGUCCAGACUCCUACGGGAGGCAGCAGUGGGGAAUAUUGCACAAUGGACGAAAGUCUGAUGCAGCAACGCCGCGUGGAGGAUGACACAUUUCGGUGCGUAAACUCCUUUUAUAUAGGAAGAUAAUGACGGUACUAUAUGAAUAAGCACCGGCUAACUCCGUGCCAGCAGCCGCGGUAAUACGGAGGGUGCAAGCGUUACUCGGAAUCACUGGGCGUAAAGAGCGCGUAGGCGGGUAUAUAAGUCAGAAGUGAAAUCCUAUAGCUUAACUAUAGAACUGCUUUUGAAACUGUAUACCUAGAAUGUGGGAGAGGUAGAUGGAAUUUCUGGUGUAGGG
Molecule: ribosomal RNA, 594 nt
Filed under: uncultured Arcobacter sp.
Lineage: Bacteria; Pseudomonadati; Campylobacterota; Epsilonproteobacteria; Campylobacterales; Arcobacteraceae
Description: bacterial SSU rRNA
Rfam family: Bacterial small subunit ribosomal RNA
Source: RNAcentral